Long non-coding RNA from Mustela lutreola (European mink), 11167 nucleotides. RefSeq lists it as uncharacterized. The transcript is spliced from 2 exons. Lineage: Eukaryota; Metazoa; Chordata; Mammalia; Carnivora; Mustelidae. The record is from RefSeq and is a predicted model, not a curated record.
GUUUUACUCAUGUUGGUACUUGGUAGGCAUCGUUUUACUAAGACAACUCCUACUCUUUUAUAGCUAUAUAUUAACAUUUUACAUAGUGCUUUUACUUCCAUAGGCUGUAAAAAUAUGAAUUGUAUAAUAUUCACUAAUGUUAAAAUAAAAAUCCUAAGUGAUAAGAAAGUGUUGUGGGGUUUUUUUCUUUUAAUUGGGAGCAUUUUUACUUUUUUAGUAACUCAUGAAAUAAUUGUGUGUCCUGCAAUCAGUCACAUCUUAUAUUCUGUGAAAUACUGUAUGACAAAAAACAAUGCAAAGAUAUAAUUUUCUCUAUCUUUUUUUUUAAAGAUUUUAUUUAUUUAUUUGGCAGAGAGAGAUCACAAGUAGGCAGAGAGGCAGGCAGAGAGAGAGAGAAGGAAGCAGGCUCCCCUCUGAACAGAGAGCCCGAUGUAGGACUCGAUCCCAGGAUCCCGAGAUCAUGACCUGAGCCAAAGGCAGAGGCUUAACCCACUGAGCCACCCAGGCGCCCCCUCUAUCUUUAUAAUUAUCACUAGAUCACAAUCAGUAUUUUUGGCAGACAUCUUAAAAACAGAGGAAUAUACCUACAAUUGUGACUAUGGGCACAUAAAUAUACAAUGCUGAGAGGAAAUAAAAACAUUAUUUGAAAGUUUUCUGGAAAAGAUAAAUUUUGUCCAGUGUUGUAAAGGAAGAGAAGGACAAGCAAUUAUGGAAAACAGGUUAGAGAAAGUAAAAGAAUGGGGAAGGGAUCUGAAUGAGGAAAGAUUUUUACAGUUGCGAUUGAUUAGGGGCGCCUGGGUGGCUCAGUCAGUUAAGUGGUUAAGCAUCUGCCUUCAGCUCAGGUCAUGAUCCCAGGGUCCUGGGAUCGAGACCCUCAUCGAGCUCUCUCUCUCUCUCUCUCCUCCCUGUCAAAUAAAUAAAAAAAUUUAAAAUAUAAAAUGGACAGUUUUUAGAAAAAUAAAGACAUGCGAGUUAAAUCAACAAUAACAAUAUAUCCUUUCCCAUAUCAGUCAGAAUAGCUAGACUGGUUUGGAAUUCACGGUGUUGGUUAAGGGUGUGUGGCAAUUACUGGGGAGACCAUACAUUUGGGUACAUCUUUGGAGGGCAAUAUAUAGAAAUAACUCAAAGUUCUGACCUAGAAUUUUACUUCUGGGAUUGUAAUAUCCCAAUACAUGUAUUGAUAAAUUUGCAUACCAACAAAUAUAUCUACAAAAUGACACUGCAUGUAACUAUGAAAAGAAUGAAGUCCACUUAUGCUGAUCUGACAUGAUCCGCAAGAUAUUUUUACAGGAGCACAGCAAGGUACAGAAGAAUCUACAAUAUGCUGUUUUAGUUCCAAACACACUUGCAUUGCAUAGAAUUAUAUUUUAAUGUAUCUUUAUCAAAGUUAUAUGUACGUAUUUCUGAAAAUCAAAGAGCUCUAGAGGGUUCAAAUAAAACCAGCAUCUCUCUUCCCCUCAACCCUCAUUUCUGCUUCUCAGAGGCCAUGUCACUUUCUAAACUUGUAGCAGUUUCUCUUGGUACUGCCUAUUUCAGGAUAAUAUGUUACAUAGAUAUUGAUUGAUUUAAUUUUUUAGAUUACGGACCGUUGACUUCCUACACAGGAAGAUGGGGAUUUGGUUGUCUUACACAAUCCCCCUCCAAGAUGGACAUUUCCCCUUCCCCAUCCUUUUAAUAUAGUUUGACUGUAUUUUUAGUGAAAUCAAUUAUGGCAUCAUCAAUUAUUAUACUUCCUUUCUUCUAUAUCUUCUUACUUUCAUUGGUUAAAAUUUUCACCUUUUCUGUUUGCUUAAUUUUUUGUGGACUUCUCAUGUAUUACACAUCACUAAUUCAUCCCCAGACUCCUCUCCAGAACUAAACAUCAGUUAAUAUGUAAGUUUUUAAUCCUAGUUUUAGAAAUGCCUCCUGGGGCUCUCGUUCCAUCUACAGGGGUUGUUCUCUAGUCCUGGUGCAGAAUGUCCGCUGGUGUGGGGGGAGUAGUGUUGCAGGAGGGAGCUUGACACCUAAAGGCUUUAUAAACAGAAUUUCAGUCCAUCCUAUUAACAGUGCCAGCUGCAGAGGUAUCUGGAUCCUUCCAUUCUUAAGUGUUUCAGGAACUCUGCAGGGUCAAUCUGCCUCUCUCAGGGUGUCUUUCUUUUGCAGGCAUUUAAGUUCUUAAUAAUUACUGCUGGUCCUGAGAUUUGAAAAUUUUGUGCUUAUAUUCUUGUCUCUGAGAAAGAAAGCCAUGCUUUUCUCUCAUUUUGUAUGGUUUCAAGAGGGAAUGAGAAAAAUUUGUGUCCAAAACAACAUAUUUAACCUCCAUACUUAGAAUCUAUCUGGAAGUACCCAUAUGAAACUGAACACGGUCACCUGCGGGGAUGGGGCCGUAGGUCUAUUUAAUGAAGGGGACCAUAGCUCAUAUAUUUAAUGAGCUGUUAUUGGCUGUUUUGGUGUUUUUACCAUAUGUUUGCUUAUUUUUUUCAAGAAAAGCACAUUUUUAAAACUCAGGAUCUCAGUUCAGAAAAAGUCAGAAUAAAUCAUGAAGGUCAGGCGCUGGGUAGAUUUAUUCACCAAAUCCAGAGGAGUCAGGUAACUUCUUGAAGUGGACAGAGGUGGUUUAAGAAAAGAAAAAAUGUAAUGGUGAUUGUGAAUUUAUGGAACAUCAUAUAUUUCAGCUUGGAUGGCAGGGAUAGGAAAGGGAUUAAUUGAUAAAGGAAUGAUGGUAGAAAUAAAUCAGUAGAUUUAAAAAUUGAAAACAGUGGCUAUACUCUUACAAAACACAUUUUGGUGAUGUUUACCAUAAGAGACAAAGAACUAAACUUGAUUAUUAGUCUAAUUCAGUAUGGCACUUUCAGUCCCAUGUUUUCAACGAUGAAGCAAGUAGAUUAGUCUAGCAGAUUUUAAAUUGAGAUGAAAUGAGUUUAGGAAUGAAAAACAAUAAACAUUUGUCAUCUAUGGCAUAUAAUGCUUUACUCUUUGCAAGCUCUAGGUGUUAUAAGAGUUAAAGAUUCAAGCUGGAAAAUCUACCAAAAAAAAAAAAAAACCCACUGAAAAUCUAUACUUUUUUAUGUCAUUGCUCUUUGGUACUAAGAGGUUCUCAAGAAGGUGAGUAUCUUAUGUACCGUUUGUGCUGUAAUAUUUUAUUACAGUGAGUGUACAGAAGAUUAGCUGUUUCAAAGAUUCGUUUGAAAUCAGAUUGCACAUCAAAACUGCAUUGUGCCCUGCUAAGUAAGCAAAUUUAAGAAAGAGGAGAAGGUGAUGUCAAGACUUAUUGCAAAAUGAACAAAUAAAGGAAAAAGAUUUGCUUGGUGUUUAGCCUAUUAAGGCAUAGCCAAAUGUCAGUCUUCAUUUAUCAACUUAAAUAUGUUUUUCUAAAACUUACAAAGAUUCAGUCUAUGGUAAGUAUCCUUUAGCUGCUAUUUGGCCUUGAGAAAUUAAGCCACACAAAAGUACUAACUAGAUUAUACUAAGAACUCAAUUUCUCAGUGAUUAUUUACCACAUAAAUAUGUACAUUAGUAAUUCAGAUACAGAUAUUUGUUGACUUCUUUGUUAUUUUUCUGAUUAUAAAAUUAACACGUGUUUUUGUUCCCCAAGACUUGAGAUUUUAGGUCACAGAUAAACUUUUCUUCCACAAUAGUUAUACCACCAAAAAUACAACACACAGCAUUUCCAGUCUCCAGGGAUUUCUCCCUUCCAAAAAGAAGAGGCAAAAAUAAACUUUUAAAAAUCCAUCAGUUGAACCUCAGGGAGCCAGGAUGAAUACGAGCUAGCUUGCAGCCUGAACUGUACUUGCUGGAAAUAACCAGGAACAUAGGGAAGGAUCCCAGGCUGGAGCUACGGAGUUUGUAGGGGCUUGAAACUAGCAGAAUGGGGGGGCCUGCAGGCUUUGUGAAGGGGUAGGAUUGCCCUGAGGCCAGAAUUCUCUACUGACAGCAUCUGAGCAGACUGAACCUUGAAACAGCAGUCAGGAGGAGAACCUGAAUCUUAGACCCCCCCUUCUGAGCUAAAAUCUUCAAGAAGGUCCUGAAGGGUCCUGAGACAACUAAACACACACUGAGAGAAAAACUGGCUAAAGCAGAAGAAACCAUCCAAUGAGAUGCUCAGAGAUUACAGACAAGCAUAACGUCGUAAAGACUACCAAAACUAGAUAAAGCCAGCCACUAAGAGUGAGAAUGAACAGACAGCAAAUCAGACCCCAAAGAAUCAGAUGCUGGGACUAAAUACAGAAUGCACAAGAGCUACGUAUGGAAGAAACUAUGGAAUGACAAAAACAGUUUAAAAAAAUAAACCCAUUGGGAUUAAACAGAUACACUUACCAGAUCGAAUUUCUAGAAAUAAAAUAUUUAAUUGCUGAAAUCAAAACCUCAAUUAAGAAUUGUGGGUCCAGCCAUGACUGAAACUGGUAGUAGACAUAUCCUUCUAUCAUAAACUACAACAGUGUCCAAUAAACACUUCAGGGCUUUGAUCCUUGAGAGAAAGGUACCAGUGUGCUGACCUCUGUAUUCCCUCACUUUCUUGCCCUGGGAACACUUUCCAAACUGCAGUAGAGGAAUGUGAAGCCCAAACACAAAAGAAAAGUUGCGUGAGGUGGAAGAAAUGAAACCGGAGUUGAGACGGCUCAGGUAGUGGGAAUCUGUGGGACAGAGGACCAGAGAAGAGGGUGCUGUGCAGAGGAGGUGCUUCAGAAACCUGCAGAGGGAAACUGAAGUCUUUGAAUACUCAGAGCACAUAAGCCAGUCAAGACUUUAGGACACAUGGCAGAAAGCAGUGACUGGAGGUCACACAGCCCUGGGAUAUAUCUGAGUUCAAAUCAGUCAGGGUGUGAAGGCCCCACUGAACAACCCAAGAAGUGAGACGCCCGAAUAGGAAGGCUACAAUAGAGUAAGAGUGAUUCUAGACCCAUCCCAAUAAAACCCAAAAUAAAUCUAUAGCAGGCACAAGCUGAUCUGCCCAUAUAGUAACCACCAACCAGAUACAAACUUUAAGGGCGCUUAGAAAUACGUUGGAGAGUUCAAAGAAAAAGAUUCUUUGUAGAGGGCUCAGCUUGGACUCACCAGAUGGUGAAGAUACUGAGCUGUUUCUUAUGUGGGACUUGCUGAAAUCUCUGGGGUCCCGGGGAAGACCGUCUAAAUAAAGAUUGAGUUCUUCACCAUCUCAGAGUCCUCUGUGAGCUUUGGAGCUCGUCAGGUGCCAGGACAGCUGCUGGGGGCUGGGCACAGCUCGAACCAGGAUCUGGGGCAGCAGCCUUCUGCAGGGGUCCAGCAGACUUACAGGUGGCUCUGGAAUUCCAGGAUGGAAGGUGGGAUGUAGGAGCAGCGAUCCGGGCUGGGGCAGAGUCCCAUGCUAUCUGGGAAUCCCAGACAUACCACAGCUGCCUGAACUGAGCGCUGGUGAAGGCAGGCAGCCACCAAAUCCCAGAGGAAGCUGUAGCCUUCAGGAACUUAGCACUAGAGAGACCAUGCAGAGAACAGGCUGGGGGCAAAGUGUCUCUGGAAGCCUAGAGAGUGAGCCAUACCAGAACCGGGAAGAGAAAAAUCCCUUCCUCCUCCAGGGUCCUUCUAGGACCCUCCUCUGACAAUGUUUAACACCAGGCUGGCUGGCAAAUGAGAAACAUUUACAAAAAUCGAUCUUUGCCAUUACAGGGUAAGGCAAAAAGGGUGAAUUUGAAGCUAAAAGGAAAUUGAUAAGGACCAUGAUCCACCCCUUUGACCCCUCAGCUUUCCAUGCAAUGUCUACACACUCGGAAAUGCCAGACAACAAUGUGACGACUCUAUAAGAGCCCAACAAUCACCGGAUACACCAUGGUGGCGAUGUCAGUUACCCUUCAAAAUCUGCUGAAUAUUCCGUUGCCUGAUGAUUAAACUGUAAAAUUAACUUCUAACAAUCUGUAUAGAAAUAUUUUUAAUGGAAAAGAAAGAGAUGAUGGAUAUUGUUUACAUAUACCGGCAAGCACAUAUGAUAUGAAGCAAAAGGAAGGGGCGCCUGGGUGGCUCAGUGGGUUAAGCGUCUGCCUUCAGCUCAGGUCAUGGUCCCAGGGUCCUGGAAUCAGAUCCCAGUCAGGCUCCCUGCUCAGUGGCGGGGUCUGCUUCUCCCUCUGCCUGAGGCUCCCCUUGCUUAUGCUCUCUCACUUUCUCUGUCAAAAAAAUAAACUCUUUAAAAAAAAGCAAAAGGAAAAUAUGAAAAGUAACUAUAACCAUUUCUGUAACUGGUCACAAGGCCCUAAUUGUUGUCUAUGGCUUCCUUUUUCCACCAUCCAUUCUUUAUUUAUCCAACUUCAGCCAGAAGAAUUAGUUGAUCAGGACUUUUUACCUGGUAAAGUAAUCUAAACCUUCAUUCCUGAAAGGGCUCAGUCAGUCAUCCUGCCUUUUUAUUGGUCGCUGUGGUUUUCCCUGAGCUUUUAGUAUGGGACAUGGAGUUCCAGAAACCUACAAAAUAUCCUGGGUUACAGUCCUUCUUGCCUCUAAUGAGUAGCAGAACCCAAUUUUUUCUUGGUAUUAGGGACCAAUCACACGUAGGAGGACAACCCAUCUUUCUGCCUGAUUUUUUUUUAAAGAUCUUUAUUUACUUAUUUAUUUGAGAGAGAGAGAGAGAGAAAGAGAAAGAGCGGGUGAGCCAGGGCUGGGGUCAGAGGGGAAGAGAGAGAAUCGUCAAGCAGACUCUUCUGCUCAGUGUGGAGUUCAGCUCAGGGCUCGAUCCCAGGACCCUGAGAUCAUGACCUGAGCCAAAAUCAAGAAUCAGGCACUUAAAUGACUGAGCCACCCAGGCACCCCUCCACCAUUGCUUUUAAACUCAGAAAUUCCUGUCCCAAUUUGAUAACUAUCUUGUCAUUUAUUUUUAUGGUUUGUAUUUUCUUUACAUUUAACUAAAAAAAUUCACCUAGGAUUAAUUUUGUUAAAUGGUUAAAAAAAAAAAAUGAGGACCUAACUCUAGAUCUCCCUACAAAUACCUAGCCAAUUUAUCUAGUACUAUUUGUAGAGUAAUUCUUUCCUUUUGCCACAUAAUACAAAGUGAAUUGUCUUUUAAAUAUUAUUAUAUACCUAAAUAUGUUUUAAGAUAUUAUUCUCUUUUGAACUGACUUUCCUUAUAACCAUAUUGUUUUAAUUAUCAUAACUUCACAAUGUUUUCAUAUUCCAUAAGACUAGCUUACCUCCCCCUACAAAAGCCACACUUAAGUUUCUCUUCUUUCCAAAAAUGUUAACUAUUCUUACUUGUAUGUCCUUUCAGAUGAACUUUACAAUUGUCUUACCAUCUCUCAUCCCCAGUGAAAUCACUUCAAAAAUCACAAAAUAAUUUCAGAAGAAAUGACGCUAUACUAGUCAGGUUCUGCACAGAAACAGAACCAAUAGGAUGUACCUGUAUACAGAAAGAGAUUUACGAGAAGAAAUUGGCUCACAAGAAUUUGAAGACUGACAAGUCCCAUAUCUGCAGGGUGAGUCAGCAAGCUGGAGACCCAGGAGAGCUGAUGACUUAGCUCUGGUCCUGAAGCCGGCAGGCUCAAGAGCCACUGCUUCAGUUCAAAGGCCGUAAGGCAAAAGGGAUUCUCUUAAGGAAGGCAUUCUUUUGUUUUAGUCAGGCAUUCAACUGACUGGAUGAGACCCACCACAUUAGAGAGGGAAAUCUGCUUUACUUAGCCUGCCAAGUUAAAUGUUAAUCUUACCCAAAACAGCUCCACAGAAACACCCCGAGCAACAAUGGACCAAAUAUCUGGAUACUCCAUGGCCCAGUCAAGUUGACAAAAAAUUAGCUAACAUAACACCUUCAUAAUAUUUUUAGCCCAUCCAGGAACAAUUAUCUCAGUAAUUUUUCUUCAAAAUGUAUGGCUUUCAUUGUCUAGGUCAUACUACUUCUGAUGAGGUCUUUUCUAGAACCUAUGUACUUUUUGUUGUUUCUAAGAAUGGGAAUUUUUCCCAUUGGAUUUUCUACCUGAUUAUUGUUGGUACAUAGAAAAACAGUCAAUUACUCACCUACUUACCUAAAUUCUUAACAGUCCCAACAUUUUUUUCUUACUGAUUCUCUUGAGUUUUCUGGUAGUAAAUCAUAUUAUAUGGAAAUGAUGGCAAGUGUGUCUUUGCCCAUUCCUAUAGUAUUGCUCUUAUUUCUAUUUCCAGUAUUAUUUCACAGAUUAUAGUUCACAGGACAAUGUAAAAUUCUAAUAAAGAUAGCAGAAAUCUUGGGGCGCCUGGGUGGUUCAGUGGGUUAAGCCGCUGCCUUCGGCUCAGGUCAUGAUCUCAGGGUCCUGGGAUCAAGUCCUGCAUCGGGCUCUCUGCUGGGCAGGGAGCCUGCUUCCCUCUCUCUCUCUCUCUCUCUCUCUCUCUGCCUGCCUCUCCAUCUACUUGUCAUUUCUCUCUGUCAAAUAAAUAAAUAAAAUCUUUAAAAAAAAAAAAGAUAGCAGAAAUCUUGAUUCCCUGUUUAAUAAGGUCAUCUCUAGUGUUUUCAAUGAAGCAUAAUAUUUUCCUGUUGAUUUGAGAUAAAUACUUGAUCUUGUACUCUUUAUUUCCUGGAUUUAUAGGAGUCUGAGAAAAGGAAUGAGAGUUGAGUCAUCUCAAAUGCCUUUUCAGCUUCCACUGAUGAUGACACAUUUUUCCAAUUUGACCUCCAGAUGUGCUAUAUCUGCUUUAUAUGCUUCCACAUAUUAAAUUAUUCUACAUUACUGUAAUAGAGCCUGAUCACAGUAGACCAUUCUUUUCACAUCAUCGUCUUAGACAAGCUGAGUCCCAGAUAUCAUUACUCAUCUCCAAAUUGGAGGCUAAAAAUUAUAUCUGCCCCAUGUUACAGGGAUUAGAUGAGAUAAUUUAUAUAAAGUAAACUUAAUUGCAGUACUUAAUUAGCACAAUGUCUGGCUCCUAGGUACAUUCAGCUCGCAGUACCAUUAUUAUUGUUAUUAACCAAAAAGACUGAAUAUGGUUUGAGUGGGGAAGACUGUAUUUCCUGUGGGAAUUUUUAUAUGCAUGAGUGAGAUGUUUCUUAAAUUUCCUUAAAGAAAAUAUAAAUCAUGAGAAGGAACAAUGAAAAGUUAUAUUCUGAAAAAGAAUCUGAGGGUUUUGGAGGGGUGGGGAAUGGGACGUUGGGUGAGCCUGGUGGUGGGUAUUAUGGAGGGCACAUAUUGCAUGGAGCACUGGGUGUGGUACAUAAACAAUGAAUUCUGGAACACUGAAAAGAAAUUUUAAAAAAUAAAAAAUUUUAAAAAGUUAUUUUCAGUGUAUUUUAAAACUAUGUUGUUAGUUUACUCCUACCACCUUGCAGGCUAACUAACUCAUUCAUAGUAUUUCUGGGCAGCGCUGGCCUCAUGGUCAUGUGAUCAACAUAGCUGCACAAAACCCAGGACAACUCGAGGGCCCCACGAUUGGGGUCUAAUGGUCUCUAGUUACCAUCUUCAAUUUUUUAAUAAUGUCACUUUGAAGUUUUGUUUUACAGGUGAAAUCUCUGGGACAAUGGAGAUUGUGCAGGGGCACUGAAGUCGCAGCUCACACACAGUUCUCCUUCCCACCCGCUCCGCACCUCCCCGGGCUAGGUUCUUGGCUAUCCUCUGCCAGCCCAGCCACACCCUCCCCAGCCCUGCCCAAGUGUUUGCUUCCAACCUCCAGCCCCCUGGCAGGGACCUGGGUGCAGGUAUGCAUAGGAAUGGGGCGGGGCACCCACAUCCCACUGCAUUUGAGGGCCUAGGUUGGCGGAGGUCAUCCUGCCCUAAGCUGGCAGUGCCCUGAUGCAUCAUUGGUAGCCAGCCGGAGAUCACAGCUCGGUGGAGACCAGCCUUUCACCCACUCCUAAUCCCAGUACUUAGACCUUUCUAACUCAGAGCUUGCAGUACCCUCGGGAGUGGCCCAUGCAUGUGAGCUGGAGCACCAGGCCUGCGGAAAGCCGAGAUGUCUGCCUGAAGUUCACAGGGGAGCUCUCCACCUGCAGCGUGGUGGUCUAUCCCGACAGCUGCCGGCGGGAGCCCGCGGAGCAGCGUGACGCCUGCGCAGAUGCAACCCCGGGAGUCUUGGGAUCGGGUCCCAGCGCAGCAACGGAGACACGUGCUCACCUUGCCAGCGUCCACAUGCGUGAUCCCUGAAGGAGUGUGAUACCUGCUUCGUGCUAAAGGAGCCCUCUCUCUUCCUCCACCACCUUCCUGCGUCUAACUGGUAUACGCUCUUCCGGCCAAGGUAUAUAGGUACCCAACAGAAUCAACAGGAAGCCUGAAGAAUGAAGCUUGAGCUAGCACAAUGAAUCUGAUGCAUGGCCAAGAUCCUGGCAUCAACAACACUCUGAGGAGGACACCAUUACUGGCCUUGACAGCACUGGACCCUUGCCACCAUGCUGCAGGAUUCUGUUGCCCUUGGUCUGCUCGCCAUUGACCUUUCGACUCCAUAAUGGCUACUUCAAAUAAUUUCUCACUGAACUUUUGUCAUGGUGUCACUCCUUAAAGAUACUGCCAGUCCAUGGAGUAGAAUUAUUUACCUAAUUUAGGGUUCAUAGACCUUGAGUUCUUCCCAUUUGGGGACCAGGAAGGGGGUGCUGAUGUAGGCCAACAUGCAUUUAAAUGAAAAGUUCCGGUUUUAUUUCUAACAAAAUUAACCUUCGUGCAAGCUAUGAAGAAGUGGAAGUAGAAUCAUACCAAAUAGCAUUUGCUAUUUUUCUUAAUCUUUUUCAAUUUUCUGAAUAUGUUUUUUUAUUAAUUAAUCACUAGCCACUAAAGUAUAACAUAAAUUGUAUAAUUAUAAUUAGUUAUAAUUAUAUAAAAUUGUUCAUGAAGUUAAAUUCAUAAUUGCCUUGGUUAAGCUAAUGGUUGAUGCUAUUGAAAUCUCUGAAAGGAAGUCUGAGCCGCACUGCUUGGUGUGCGCCCGCCAUCUAGUGGCAAGACACGUUAAUACCACCAUAGAGAUCCUAGGGGGCUUCAGAGGCCAACUUCGCCAGAGACAGUUUUUCGCACUUUAUAAUUUUCCCAGUGUGUUACCCAAUCAACCACACAUUUCUUAUCUUUGGAAUGAUCUUCCAUUACAUUCAAUUACAUUUCAUGUUAACUGCAACCUAUAAUGUGAGGCAAAGGGUAUCUUAGCAUCACCUGUAACCACAUUCCCUAAACCAGUUCCCUAAGACUGUUUUUAUUUUACGUAUGUCCAGAAACAAUAUGUGGUUUGGGCAUGCUAUUAUUCUCCCACCAAGAAUAUGUUGGCCACUAUAAUAAAAGUGCAAAUUAAUACAAGA